GACGAACGCUGGCGGCGUGCUUAACACAUGCAAGUCGAACGAUGAAGCCCAGCUUGCUGGGUGGAUUAGUGGCGAACGGGUGAGUAACACGUGAGUAACCUGCCCUUGACUCUGGGAUAAGCGUUGGAAACGACGUCUAAUACCGGAUACGAGCUUCCACCGCAUGGUGAGUUGCUGGAAAGAAUUUUGGUCAAGGAUGGACUCGCGGCCUAUCAGCUUGUUGGUGAGGUAAUGGCUCACCAAGGCGACGACGGGUAGCCGGCCUGAGAGGGUGACCGGCCACACUGGGACUGAGACACGGCCCAGACUCCUACGGGUGGCAG
RNAcentral lists this ribosomal RNA (323 nucleotides) under uncultured Actinomycetes bacterium. Its description in RNAcentral is "bacterial SSU rRNA". It matches the Rfam family "Bacterial small subunit ribosomal RNA", at positions 28 to 351 of the family's 1533-position model. Lineage: Bacteria; Bacillati; Actinomycetota; Actinomycetes. The record is from RNAcentral.